RNAcentral lists this long non-coding RNA (383 nucleotides) under Androctonus crassicauda. The record is from RNAcentral. Lineage: Eukaryota; Metazoa; Arthropoda; Arachnida; Scorpiones; Buthidae.
AUUUUAUACUCUAUGCUCGGUGCGCCGUCUCCAUGCAGAUGGCAGCACUGUAGGACAGUUGCUAUUGGUAAUAUCGUGAAUUUGCCUCCGUUUCUCAGUCUCCAUGGCUUCUGUGGUGUCAAGUCCCCUAGAAUCAUGCAGCGGUUUUGCCACCUCUGCGUCUUUCCAUCGUGUAUCCAGGUCAUUCUCAUGUGCUUUCGUAGUGAGAGCCGUGGUGGGCCUUCCGGCUUUGGGGUCAGCUUUGUGCUUACCAAGCCUGGUGUCCGGCCCUCUCCUCGUGCUGCCAGUAUAGCACUGUAGUUUGGCCUCAUCUUUGUUGGGUAUCGGUGUUUCAUGUACUCCCGCUUUCCUACCAGCCUCCAUUCUAUCCUUAACAUUGUGGA